RNA transcript from Sesamum indicum (sesame), 1807 nucleotides. It is a transcript of the gene named heat shock transcription factor A2, with no coding region annotated. Lineage: Eukaryota; Viridiplantae; Streptophyta; Magnoliopsida; Lamiales; Pedaliaceae. The record is from RefSeq and is a predicted model, not a curated record.
UGCUGAGGGCUGAAGCUGACCCCACAAGAACCUGUGGAUAUUUGCUGCAAAAGCUGGAACCUUAAGGAAAUAUCCAAAAAAAGUGCCACACUCUCAGUCUCUAGAACUUUCCUUUCCAUACCCAUAUAUGCUCAUUACACUCUUGUCUGCCACCGUUUUUCUGACAUAGUAUGCAAGAGACACUUGCUUCAGGUUCAAGCAUAAAUCCCACUUCCAAAUAAAGCUGCGAAUUUCAAGAAAGUUUUGAUCUUUUGAGGGGAAAUGGAGGGUGUGAAGGUGAAAGUAGAAGAGGAGUGCGCCGCCGCAGGCUAUGGUGGUGGUGCGGUUGCGUCAUUGUCGUCUUCAUCUUCUUCCCCACUGCCGAUGGAGGGGUUGCAUGAAGUGGGACCGCCUCCAUUCUUGAUCAAGACUUAUGAAAUGGUGGAGGACCCUUCAACUGAUUCGGUGAUCUCGUGGAGCAGAGGCAAGAACAGCUUCAUUGUUUGGGAUUCUCACAAGUUCUCCACCACUCUGCUUCCCAGAUACUUCAAGCACAGCAACUUCUCCAGCUUCAUUCGGCAGCUGAACACAUAUGGUUUCAGAAAAGUUGAUCCAGACAGAUGGGAAUUUGCCAAUGAGGGGUUUCUGGGAGGGCAAAAGCACCUCUUGAAGACCAUCAAGAGAAGGAGAAAUGUGAUGCAGGGUAUUACUCAGCAAAGUGGAGGUGGUUCUUGUGUAGAGAUAGGGCAGUAUGGGAUGGAAGAAGAGCUCGAAAGACUGAAACGUGACCGGAAUUUGUUAAUGGCAGAGAUAGUGAAGCUCAAACAACAGCAGCAGAGCUCGAGGGAAAGAAUUGUGGCAAUUGAAGACCGGAUUCUCAGCACGGAGAAGAAGCAGCAACACAUUAUGAGCUUUCUUGCUAAAGCCUUCAAAAGCCCUUUAUUCGUUCAGCAAUACGUUGAUAAAUACGCACAGAGGGAGGAUAAGCAACAUAUUGAAAUAGGCCAUAAGAGAAGGCUCACUAUGAGUCCAAGUGUUGAGAACUUUCAAGAAGUAGUGACUGUUGCAGCAGGUGGUAGUGGGCCUUCAGCUGAUCCAAAUGAGCUUGAUGAUAUUGACUUGGAGGUGAAGACACUGUUUUCUGCUGCACUGGAUGAUGAAUCGAGCAGCGAUGUGAAGGGUUCUGCGGCAGAGAUGGUGCCUUCUAGUAACGAUGCUGGUUUGAAUCCGACGACUGAGGAGAUAUGGGAGAAGUUCCUGAAUGAUGAUCUAAUAGGUGGUGAUGACACGGAGGAAGUGUUGGCAGCUGAGCACCUGUCGGAUGAUGUGGAAGUAGAAGAAUUGGUAGCCAAAACAUCGGAGUGGACGGGUGAGGAUUUACAAGAUCUUGUAGACCAGUUGGGGUUUAUUUAAUUGAAGCAGAUGAAGAUUCUAAUGCGCUGUAUAUUAAGUAUAUGUACAGCAAUGUUUCUUGUUAUUUUCCAUGUCUGGGAAUCUGAGAUGGAAUAAGCUAACAAACAGCUCUGAGGAUACCAAGAGGAAAUGGUCCAGCUUUUCAGCAACAGUGGAAACAAUCCCCUAUCGUCCCGGAUACAGCACAAUGCAACUGGACGACUUCCAUAACAUAACUGUUUACAUUUGAAUGAAUUCCUCGCUUCCAGGUGUUGGUUUUUGCAUGUGGACAAGGGAAGACAAAGGAAAAUCUGUUCAAAAAGAGACGGUAGCUCUAAUCGAAUUCCUGUUCCAUGGUCAAGAUUCAAGAAACUGACAAUGGUAGAAGAAAAUUUCUAUAGAGAUUUUCGUGGUGUAAUUGCUGGAGACAGAACUC